Molecule: ribosomal RNA, 703 nt
Filed under: uncultured organism
Description: bacterial SSU rRNA
Rfam family: Bacterial small subunit ribosomal RNA
Source: RNAcentral
UUGACGGUACCCUACUAGAAAGGAGCCGCUAACUUCGUGCCAGAAGCGUCGGUAAUACGGGGGCUCCAAGCGUUAUCCGGUGUUAUUGGGCGUAAAGAGUCGUGUAGGUGGUUGGGUAAGUUAUCUUUCAAAUAUCUUUGCUUAACAAAGAGGAGGGGGAUAAUACUGCUCGACUAGAAUUUUCUCAAGGGAGAUCGGAACUGAGGGAGGAGUAGUGAAAUGCGUUGAUACCCUCGGGAACACCAGUGGCGUAGGCGGAUCUCUGGGAGAAGAUUGACACUGAGACACGAAAGCUAGGGGAGCGAAGCAGAUUAGAGACCUGCGUAGUCCUAGCCGUAAACGCAUGCUUGCUAGCUGCAUGAAUCUACCUUCGGGUGGUAUCGUGUGGCGAAGGUAACCCGUUAAGCAAGCCGCCUGGAAAGUACGGCCGCAAGGCUGAAAUUCAAAGGAAUUGGCGGGGAGGCACACAGCCAGUGGAACAUGUGGUUUAAUUCGAGACUAACCGAAGAACCUCACCAGGGUUUGACAUGUAGCUGCACGUCUUAAGAAAUUAAGACUCUCUUGAAGGUGCUACACAGGUGCUGCAUGGCUGUCGUCAGCUCGUUCCGUGAGGAGUGCCCUUAAGUGGGACAACGAGCGCAACCCCUAUUACAUGUUAGAAAUGUCAUGUAAGACUGCCUUGCCAUUUGGCGGGGAGGAAGGA